UACGUAGGGGGCGAGCGUUGUCCGGAUUUAUUGGGCGUAAAGAGCGUGUAGGCGGCCAGGUAGGUCCGUUGUGAAAACUCGAGGCUCAACCUCGAGACGUCGAUGGAAACCAUCUGGCUAGAGUCCGGAAGAGGAGAGUGGAAUUCCUGGUGUAGCGGUGAAAUGCGCAGAUAUCAGGAAGAACACCUAUGGCGAAGGCAGCUCUCUGGGACGGUACUGACGCUGAGACGCGAAAGCGUGGGGAGCGAAAAGG
This 253-nucleotide ribosomal RNA is filed under the name uncultured bacterium. RNAcentral describes it as "partial 16S ribosomal RNA". It matches the Rfam family "Bacterial small subunit ribosomal RNA", at positions 524 to 776 of the family's 1533-position model. The record is from RNAcentral.